This 793-nucleotide non-coding RNA is filed under the name Statilia flavobrunnea. The record is from RNAcentral. Lineage: Eukaryota; Metazoa; Arthropoda; Insecta; Mantodea; Mantidae.
UUUAAGUUUUAUUCUUGCUUAAUUUGUUCAUUUUAACAUUAAUCUAUAUGUAAAUUUUUGUACAUUAAAUUUUCUCAAAGAAAUUUUGAUUUAUAAUUUGGGCAGUAGAUAAUUUUAUUGAUAUUAAGUUAAUUUAGAUUUGGUAAAUGUUACUAGAUUUGGUAAAAGCUGUGCCAGCAUCCGCGGUUAUACAGCAAAAUCAAAUGAACACUAUUGGUUUUGAAGUAAUUAAUAUUAAAUUUUUUUUGAACAAGUACUAUGUUAUUAUAAGGUGAAAUAUUUAUAAUAUUUUGAAGUAUGUUUUUAUAGUAUGAUUGUUAUGAAAAUAAAAAUGUAAACUAGGAUUAGAUACCCUAUUAUUUUUAUUGUAAAAUUCUAAGCUAGAGUAUUAGUAGAUACGGUCUUGAAACUUAAAGAAUUUGGCGGUAUUAUAGUCUAUUUAGAGGAAUCUGUUAUGUAAUCGAUAGUCCACGUUGAACCUUACUUAUUUAAUUUCUUGUAUACCGCUGUUUAUGAAUAUACUUUUAGGUUAUUUUCAAGAUAUAAAAGUAAUUAAUAUUUCAAGUCAAGGUGCAGUAAUAUAUAAGUUGAAUAAUGGAUUACAAUAAGUUUUAUUUAUACGGAUUAUUAUUGAAAUAUAAUUUGAAGGUGGAUUUAAUUGUAAUUUUAUAAAGAUUAAUAAAAUGAUUUAUAGCUCUAUAAUAUGCACACAUCGCCCGUCACUCUCGUUAAUUAAGAUGAGAUAAGUCGUAACAAAGUAAGUGUAUCGGAAGGUGUACUUAGGAAGUAUUGU